Molecule: ribosomal RNA, 737 nt
Filed under: Kocuria palustris
Lineage: Bacteria; Bacillati; Actinomycetota; Actinomycetes; Micrococcales; Micrococcaceae
Description: bacterial SSU rRNA
Rfam family: Bacterial small subunit ribosomal RNA
Source: RNAcentral
CGCUGAAGCACCAGCUUGCUGGUGUGGAUGAGUGGCGAACGGGUGAGUAAUACGUGAGUAACCUGCCCUUGACUCUGGGAUAAGCCCGGGAAACUGGGUCUAAUACUGGAUGCUACAUGUCACCGCAUGGUGGUGUGUGGAAAGGGUUUACUGGUCUUGGAUGGGCUCACGGCCUAUCAGCUUGUUGGUGAGGUAAUGGCUCACCAAGGCGACGACGGGUAGCCGGCCUGAGAGGGUGACCGGCCACACUGGGACUGAGACACGGCCCAGACUCCUACGGGAGGCAGCAGUGGGGAAUAUUGCACAAUGGGCGAAAGCCUGAUGCAGCGACGCCGCGUGAGGGAUGACGGCCUUCGGGUUGUAAACCUCUUUCAGCAGGGAAGAAGCCACAAGUGACGGUACCUGCAGAAGAAGCGCCGGCUAACUACGUGCCAGCAGCCGCGGUAAUACGUAGGGCGCAAGCGUUGUCCGGAAUUAUUGGGCGUAAAGAGCUCGUAGGCGGUUUGUCGCGUCUGCUGUGAAAGCCCGGGGCUUAACCCCGGGUGUGCAGUGGGUACGGGCAGACUAGAGUGCAGUAGGGGAGACUGGAAUUCCUGGUGUAGCGGUGGAAUGCGCAGAUAUCAGGAGGGAACACCGAUGGCGAAGGCAGGUCUCUGGGCUGUUACUGACGCUGAGGAGCGAAAGCAUGGGGGAGCGAACAGGAUUAGAUACCCUGGUAGUCCAUGCCGUAAACGUUG